CCAAAACAAAUUGCAACCUCAUUAUUGUAUAAUUAGACUCUUGCAAAAUUUCCUCAUCACAAAACUGUAGCAUUUCUCAUCUCUCCAAACCACCUCCCAAAUGAAAUUUGAAACGAAAACAAAACCCCUCAAGCACAAAUGGUUUGGUGGUAGAACCGAUUGGCGGAAUUCUUGACAAGCCCUGUAAAUAGACCAAACUGAACGAAGUCAAUUAUAAUUGUAGAACUAAAACAUUCUUCUUGGAAAAUAAGGGAUGCAAUUUAAGUUAAUUAAGAUAUUAACCCCCAAUGAAAAGGAAUAGAAAGAAUUAGGAGGAGAGAGUUCUUUUACCUUCUUAGAGUAACCAGUGUAUUCUAACAAAAGGGAAUGUAAGGAUGCCGGAAUUAGUUUUGCUUGUCUCUCACCC
This 406-nucleotide long non-coding RNA is filed under the name Malus domestica (apple). RNAcentral's name for it is "long non-coding RNA (MDOM_LNC014593)". The record is from RNAcentral. Lineage: Eukaryota; Viridiplantae; Streptophyta; Magnoliopsida; Rosales; Rosaceae.